UACGGAGGGUGCGAGCGUUGUCCGGAAUCACUGGGCGUAAAGGGCGCGUAGGCGGCCUGAUCAGUCGGGGGGGAAAUCCUGCGGCUUAACCGCAGGGCUGCCUUCUAAACUGUCGGGCUAGAGCACGGUAGAGGCAGAUGGAAUUCCCGGUGUAGCGGUGGAAUGCGUAGAGAUGGGGGAGAACACUCGUGGCGAAGGCGGCCAGCUAGACCAGUUCUGACACUGAGGCGCGACAGCGUGGGGAGCAAACAGG
This 253-nucleotide ribosomal RNA is filed under the name uncultured bacterium. Its description in RNAcentral is "partial 16S ribosomal RNA". It matches the Rfam family "Bacterial small subunit ribosomal RNA", at positions 524 to 776 of the family's 1533-position model. The record is from RNAcentral.